This 161-nucleotide non-coding RNA is filed under the name Mus musculus (house mouse). Its description in RNAcentral is "Eukaryotic large subunit ribosomal RNA". It matches the Rfam family "Eukaryotic large subunit ribosomal RNA", at positions 2825 to 2984 of the family's 3401-position model. Lineage: Eukaryota; Metazoa; Chordata; Mammalia; Rodentia; Muridae. The record is from Rfam by way of RNAcentral.
GAUAACUGGCUUGUGGCUGCCAAGCGUUCAUAACCACAUUCGCUUUUUGAUCCUUCGAUGUCGGCUCUUCCUAUCAUUGUGAAGCAGAAUUCACCAAGCGUUGGAUUUUUCACCCACUAAUAGGGAACGUGAACUGGAUUUAGACCAUCGUGAGACAGGAC